Long non-coding RNA from Oryzias melastigma (Indian medaka), 662 nucleotides. RefSeq lists it as uncharacterized. NCBI's taxonomy places the organism in Eukaryota, Metazoa, Chordata, Actinopteri, Beloniformes, Adrianichthyidae. The record is from RefSeq and is a predicted model, not a curated record. The transcript is spliced from 3 exons.
CUGAGCCAUCUGCACAGUUUUCUUCUCCAUCACACAAGAGGCUGUAUUGGAUACACUCUGAGCCAUCCUUACACAGUACAGUACCCACUUUACACCUCAUAGUGCUGCUCCCAGCUGUCACAAAAAUCCCUAUGAACCCCAAACAAAGCCAUAACCAGCCACCCAUCGCUACAGACAAAAUAAAAAAUGAACCAGAUCACUCAACCAACACCACCCUAACUAAACCCAGCCUGCUGCUCUGCUCCCUGCCUGGCUUGGUGUGGCCUCCUCUGGCUUAUAUGGACACCACCUGCCAAUCAAGCAGAUUGGCCACACCUGCCAGGUGAGCCGAAGGGAACUGGAUGGAAAAGAGGCCAGACAGCAGCAGCACGUUCAGACGUUGGUUGAGGAGGUCGAACUGCCGUCACAUCAGAGCGACUCCUAAAAGCAGCUGUUUCACCAAACACUGCAGCUAGACAUCGUGACUGUUUAUCUCCUCAGCACCAGCAGGGUUUUGCUCUGACAUCACAGUUUAAAAGGAUCACAUGUGAAGCUACUAAAACCAAGAGCACCACAUCAAGAUCUUUGGCAGUAGGACACUCUGCAGGUACAUUUCUACAAACAUUUAAAUCUUUUGUGAUGAAUUUAUUCACCUUCUGUCUCAUAGUCAUAUUUGUGCUCUC